CUCGAAGAGAACUCCUGCCCAUCAGAUUCAGGAGAAAAUAAUAUAGAAUUGCCUUGGAUGAUUUCAAAAGUUUCAGUUGAUCCUGGACACAUGCAGAUGAGAACCAUUUACACUAUGUUUGAGAAAACAAUUCAAUGUGAAUGUGAAAAGAAAUCUUCACUCCCUCCAAGAAACGUUUACGUUCUCCUUCGUAGCAUUCACUUCCUUCUCCUUACCAGAUUGUAGUUCUUCUGUGCCUACAUAUCUGCUCCACCCAGCUCUGCCCUGCCAGAGACAACCUCCAUGGACUGCAUCAUCCAGGAUCACUUGUCCUCUCAAUUCUCUUUCGAGUCAGCCAAUAUGGGGCAUCAGCAGGAGAUGAGAAGGUAGGAGGAGAAAUCGCUUAGAAUACUUAUAUCCUCAGCUCUUCUUCCCAGAAGCAUAGGUCAGCAGUGGCUGCAUCACUACCAGUGGCCAAGGCUUCUACUAAAUGACCUUCUCUAAAGCAUGGGUCUUACAAGUUUCUUGAAAGCUCUACACUACUACCUAAGGCCUCCCACUCAUCGCAACCUGUGACUAGCCCUAGGAUAAUUGACCAGUUUUUCUUGGUUACUCUACCAGUAUGGUUAUAAAUGGACACUUUCUUAAACUCUCCUCAAUAACCACAUAUGAGCACAUCAUUUUCUCCCUGCCAGGACACUCACUAA
Long non-coding RNA from Callithrix jacchus (white-tufted-ear marmoset), 686 nucleotides. RefSeq lists it as uncharacterized. The record is from RefSeq and is a predicted model, not a curated record. NCBI's taxonomy places the organism in Eukaryota, Metazoa, Chordata, Mammalia, Primates, Cebidae.